GACGAACGCUGGCGGCGUGCUUAACACAUGCAAGUCGAACGGAAAGGCCCUGCUUUUGUGGGGUGCUCGAGUAGCGAACGGGUGAGUAACACGUGAGUAACCUGCCCUUGUCUUUGGGAUAACUUCAGGAAACUGGGGCUCAUACCGGAUAGUAGCUCCUGCUGCAUGGUGGGGGUUGGAAUGUUUCGGGGGGUGGGGAUGGACUCGCGGCUUAUCCGCUUGUUGGUGGGGUAGUGGCUUACCAAGGUUUUGACGGGUAGCCGGCCUGAGAGGGUGAGCGGACACAUUGGGAGUGAGAUGGGGCCCAGACUUCUACGGGGGGCAGCAGUGGGGAAUAGUGCACAAGGGGCGGAAGCCUGAUGCAGCAACGCCGCGUGCGAGAUGACGGCCUUCGGGUUGUAACCCGCUUUCGCCUGUGACGAAGCGUGUGUGACGGUAAUGGGUAAAGAAGCACCGGCUAACUACGUG
Molecule: ribosomal RNA, 468 nt
Filed under: uncultured bacterium
Lineage: Bacteria
Description: partial 16S ribosomal RNA
Rfam family: Bacterial small subunit ribosomal RNA
Source: RNAcentral